RNAcentral lists this long non-coding RNA (214 nucleotides) under Hordeum vulgare. Its description in RNAcentral is "long non-coding RNA (HVUL_LNC016562)". Lineage: Eukaryota; Viridiplantae; Streptophyta; Magnoliopsida; Poales; Poaceae. The record is from RNAcentral.
AUCAUCGGAAGAAGGAUAACAAAUUUGGGAUUGGCAUCAACGUUGGAGAGUAAGAUAAUGAGAUGAAUUGUUGAGAGAGGCAUGUACCUAUUAUAGCAGUUGGCAUUUGUUGACAAGGAUUGAGCCAAUUUGUGUUCUGUUAUCAUUUUGUUUUCUCACUCCACUGGGUUGAUUACUUAGGAAAUGCCCUCGUCAUCAUUAGAUUAAGUUUGCC